Molecule: ribosomal RNA, 600 nt
Filed under: uncultured Clostridium sp.
Lineage: Bacteria; Bacillati; Bacillota; Clostridia; Eubacteriales; Clostridiaceae
Description: bacterial SSU rRNA
Rfam family: Bacterial small subunit ribosomal RNA
Source: RNAcentral
GUGAGUAACACGUGAGCAACCUACCUUACACAGGGGGAUAGCCGUUGGAAACGACGAUUAAUACCGCAUGAGACCACAGAAUCGCAUGAUAUAGGGGUCAAAGAUUUAUCGGUGUAAGAAGGGCUCGCGUCUGAUUAGCUAGUUGGAAGGGUAAAGGCCUACCAAGGCGACGAUCAGUAGCCGGUCUGAGAGGAUGAACGGCCACAUUGGAACUGAGACACGGUCCAAACUCCUACGGGAGGCAGCAGUGGGGAAUAUUGCACAAUGGGGGGAACCCUGAUGCAGCGACGCCGCGUGAGCGAAGAAGGUUUUCGAAUCGUAAAGCUCUGUCCUAUGAGAAGAUAAUGACGGUAUCAUAGGAGGAAGCCCCGGCUAAAUACGUGCCAGCAGCCGCGGUAAUACGUAUGGGGCGAGCGUUGUCCGGAAUUAUUGGGCGUAAAGGGUACGUAGGCGGUUUUUUAAGUCAGGUGUGAAAGCGUGAGGCUUAACCUCAUUAAGCACUUGAAACUGGAAGACUUGAGUGAAGGAGAGGAAAGUGGAAUUCCUAGUGUAGCGGUGAAUGCGUAGAUAUUAGGAGGAAUACCGGUGGCGAAGGCGACU